Molecule: non-coding RNA, 148 nt
Filed under: Pan troglodytes (chimpanzee)
Lineage: Eukaryota; Metazoa; Chordata; Mammalia; Primates; Hominidae
Source: Rfam by way of RNAcentral
GCUGGGGAUGGUGGCGGGUGCCUGUAAUCCCAGUUACUUGGGAGGCUGAGGCAGGAGAAUGGCUUGAGCCCAGGAGGCUGAGGCUGCAGUGAGCCAAGAUUGCGCCACUGCACUCCAGCCUGGGCGACUGAGCAGGACUCUGUCUCAA